Chlorocebus sabaeus (green monkey) is the source of this 366-nucleotide long non-coding RNA. RefSeq lists it as uncharacterized. NCBI's taxonomy places the organism in Eukaryota, Metazoa, Chordata, Mammalia, Primates, Cercopithecidae. The record is from RefSeq and is a predicted model, not a curated record.
AUAUUUAGUGCUAUUGGCUCUUGAUAAUCAUUAUUUAAUUAGUGCAGAUCCUGAAGCCAGGCUGUCUGGAUUCAAACUCUAUCUCCACCACCUUCCUAUACCUUGGGAAUUGGUGAGACCGUUGUUAAACUGUCGAUGGCUGGAAAUUGGCCAUGGGAAUUGGACCACAGAAAUGGACACCACAGAAAUUGGAAAACACCACAAAAUGAGAGCAUCAGCAUCCCCAGCCUGCUCAACAUUUACCAGCACACCACUGUCCACAUCUGGACAGAAAGGAAAGGCACCAAGUCCAGCCCUGGACAGAUCUGGGUCCAGUCCUGCUCUGACAUCUACCAGUGGUGUGACCGUGGGCAGCACGAGUGAAAG